Non-coding RNA from Elaeis guineensis (African oil palm), 2365 nucleotides. NCBI's taxonomy places the organism in Eukaryota, Viridiplantae, Streptophyta, Magnoliopsida, Arecales, Arecaceae. The record is from RefSeq and is a predicted model, not a curated record.
GUGGGUUCGCGGUAAUUCUUCGUGUUCCCCGUCUCUUUUCUAUUUUCAAGUAGGAGGUAAACCGGGUGCCGUGGCAAAACGCACGCCGUGAGCAUCUCCCACGCCGAGAUGCUCCCUUCUUCGCCUUAUUGUCCUCUCUGUCUUCUUCCUCUUUUUUAGUAGAAGCUAAGCUUAGGGCUUCGCUUCUCUUUCUACACUUGGCCAUGGCAUCGGCUUCUUGUCCUUCUACUGGCAUUCCUGCGACCUACUUUGGCGCUACUAAGCGUGAGCUCCUCCGAUGCUCCUCGAAGCGCUGGCGGAAGCAGGCGGUGAGAUGGAAUCUGCCUCUGCUGCGGCCGAUGACGGUCCGUGCGUCUCUCGACGCCAAGGUGUCUGAUAUGGGUGUCAAGGCUCCAAAAGGGUUGUUUCCACCGGAACCUGAGCACUACAGGGGGCCAAAGCUUAAAAUAGCUAUUAUUGGAGCUGGGCUUGCUGGCAUGUCAACGGCAGUUGAGCUUUUGGAUCAGGGGCAUGAGGUUGAGAUAUAUGAAUCCCGAACUUUCAUUGGUGGCAAAGUGGGUUCUUUUGUGGACAAACGUGGAAACCAUAUUGAGAUGGGGCUUCAUGUUUUCUUUGGUUGCUAUAGCAAUCUUUUUCGACUUAUGAAAAAGGUUGGUGCUGAUGAAAAUUUAUUGGUGAAGGACCACACUCACAUGUUUGUAAAUAAAGGGGGUGAAAUUGGUGAACUUGAUUUUCGAUUUCCAUUGGGGGCACCAAUACAUGGUAUACGAGCAUUUCUAGCGACCAAUCAACUCAAGCCUUAUGAUAAAGCAAGGAAUGCUGUAGCUCUUGCCUUAAGCCCAGUUGUUCGGGCACUUGUGGAUCCAGAUGGUGCAAUGCAGGACAUACGGAACUUAGAUAAUAUUAGCUUCACUGAUUGGUUCUUGUCCAAAGGCGGAACCCGCAUGAGCAUCCAAAGGAUGUGGGAUCCUGUUGCUUAUGCCCUCGGAUUUAUUGACUGUGAUAAUAUCAGCGCGCGUUGUAUGCUCACCAUAUUUUCUCUAUUUGCCACUAAGACGGAGGCUUCUCUUUUGCGUAUGCUGAAGGGUUCUCCUGAUGUUUACUUAAGUGGUCCUAUCAGAAAGUACAUUGAAGACAAAGGUGGACGGUUUCACUUAAGAUGGGGCUGCAGAGAGAUACUUUAUGAGAAAUCCCAGGAUGGAGGCACAUAUGUCACGGGAAUUGCGGUAUCUAAGUCCACAAAUAAAAAAAUUGUGAAAGCUGAUGCUUAUGUUGCAGCAUGUGACGUCCCUGGAAUUAAGAGACUGAUACCAUCUCUGUGGAGGGAAUGGGAUCUAUUUGACGAUUUGUAUAAACUAGUUGGAGUUCCAGUUGUCACUGUUCAACUUAGGUACAAUGGCUGGGUUACAGAGCUACAAGAUCUGGAGAGAUCAAGGCAACUGAAACGAGCUGCAGGAUUGGAUAAUCUUCUUUAUACCCCAGAUGCAGACUUUUCCUGUUUUGCAGACCUUGCAUUCACAUCACCAGAAGAUUAUUACAUAGGAGGGCAGGGCUCCCUAAUUCAGGCUGUACUUACGCCUGGUGAUCCAUACAUGCCUUUGCCAAAUGAUGCUAUCAUAAGCAGAGUGCAGAAGCAGUGCAUCCUGGAGGCUGGAAUUGGUUAUGUAUGUCCAUGGACAGGCAACAAAGCUUAAUGUCCUACCCAGUACCCAGUCAGUCAUCUUGAGCCUGGCCUAGUGCCAUUAAUUUGGCCAUUCUCAAAAGGGUCUUGGAAUUGUUCCCCUCUUCUCAAGGUUUGGAAGUUCUAUGGUCUUCGGUGGUGAAAAUUGGGCAAUCCCUAUAUCGGGAGGCACCAGGAAAUGAUCCAUUUAGACCUGAUCAAAAGACGCCAGUGGAAAAUUUCUUUCUUGCUGGUUCCUACACUAAGCAGGACUAUAUCGACAGUAUGGAAGGGGCAACUCUUUCUGGCAGACAAGCAGCCGCCUAUAUCUGCAGUGCCGGAGAGCGCCUGUCAGCACUCCGGAAGAAGCUUGCAUCCAGUGAAUUCGAAGGCACCCUGAGAGAUUCAAACACAGCAGAUGAACUAAGUUUUAUUUGAUAGAUAAAUUUGUUGAUUCCCGAUGUGGAACGGCACAUCGAUAUGAUGACUAAUUUUGAUGGGUUCAGACGGGGAACAAUGCAUCAACAGGUUCCAUCUCCAUGAGCUCAGUUGAUGGUCUGCUGUCUUUCCCAUGUCGUUCAUGUUUCAAACGUUGUACGUAAAUUAGGAACUGAUUUACACAUGGCAUACGGGAUAAAUUCAGGCAAACAUCAAUUACAGAGUAUUAAUAGAAUUAUCACGUCGUAGUCAUCCAUUUUCGUGCCA